This 255-nucleotide ribosomal RNA is filed under the name Triticum aestivum (bread wheat). Its description in RNAcentral is "partial small subunit ribosomal RNA". The record is from RNAcentral. Lineage: Eukaryota; Viridiplantae; Streptophyta; Magnoliopsida; Poales; Poaceae.
AUGUCUACUUGGGUGACAAGGGCUUCGGUCAGAGAAAGGUGGAACGCUAACCUGCAGAUCCGUCUCGGCUCGCCCAAGGCGCUCGCCUCCCUCAUGAUGCUCAUCUCUUAGGAGGUUUGGUCGGAGCACAAUGCUAGAGUCUUCCGCAAUUCAGCGGCCCCUUCCAUGACCAUCAUCAGCAAAAUCAAGCAGGAGGUAUCGCUUUGGAGUUUGGUUGGAGCGAAGCAUUUGGGUGUUGUAAUGCCGCGAGAGUAG